GACGAACGCUGGCGGCGUGCUUAACACAUGCAAGUCGAACGGAAAGGCCCUGCUUUUGUGGGGUGCUCGAGUGGCGAACGGGUGAGUAACACGUGAGUAACCUGCCCUUGACUUUGGGAUAACUUCAGGAAACUGGGGCUAAUACCGGAUAGGAGCUCCUGCUGCAUGGUGGGGGUUGGAAAGUUUCGGCGGUUGGGGAUGGACUCGCGGCUUAUCAGCUUGUUGGUGGGGUAGUGGCUUACCAAGGCUUUGACGGGUAGCCGGCCUGAGAGGGUGACCGGCCACAUUGGGACUGAGAUACGGCCCAGACUCCUACGGGAGGCAGCAGUGGGGAAUAUUGCACAAUGGGCGGAAGCCUGAUGCAGCAACGCCGCGUGCGGGAUGACGGCCUUCGGGUUGUAAACCGCUUUCGCCUGUGACGAAGCGUGAGUGACGGUAAUGGGUAAAGAAGCACCGGCUAACUACGUGCCAGCAGCCGCGGUGAUACGUAGGGUGCGAGCGUUGUCCGGAUUUAUUGGGCGUAAAGGGCUCGUAGGUGGUUGAUCGCGUCGGAAGUGUAAUCUUGGGGCUUAACCCUGAGCGUGCUUUCGAUACGGGUUGACUUGAGGAAGGUAGGGGAGAAUGGAAUUCCUGGUGGAGCGGUGGAAUGCGCAGAUAUCAGGAGGAACACCAGUGGCGAAGGCGGUUCUCUGGGCCUUUCCUGACGCUGAGGAGCGAAAGCGUGGGGAGCGAACAGGCUUAGAUACCCUGGUAGUCCACGCUGUAAACGGUGGGUACUAGGUGUGGGGUCCAUUCCACGGGUUCCGUGCCGUAGCUAACGCUUUAAGUACCCCGCCUGGGGAGUACGGCCGCAAGGCUAAAACUCAAAGGAAUUGACGGGGCCCCGCACAAGCGGCGGAGCAUGCGGAUUAAUUCGAUGCAACGCGUAAAACCUUACCUGGGUUUGACAUGGAUCGGGAGUGCUCAGAGAUGGGUGUGCCUCUUUUGGGGUCGGUUCACAGGUGGUGCAUGCCUGUCGUCAGCUCGUGUCGUGAGAUGUUGGGUUAAGUCCCGCAACGAGCGCAACCCUUGUUCACUGUUGCCAGCACGUUAUGGUGGGGACUCAGUGGAGACCGCCGGGGUCAACUCGGAGGAAGGUGGGGAUGACGUCAAGUCAUCAUGCCCCUUAUGUCCAGGGCUUCACGCAUGCUACAAUGGCUGGUACAGAGAGUGGCGAGCCUGUGAGGGUGAGCGAAUCUCGGAAAGCCGGUCUCAGUUCGGAUUGGGGUCUGCAACUCGACCUCAUGAAGUCGGAGUCGCUAGUAAUCGCAGAUCAGCAACGCUGCGGUGAAUACGUUCCCGGG
Molecule: ribosomal RNA, 1343 nt
Filed under: uncultured bacterium
Lineage: Bacteria
Description: 16S ribosomal RNA
Rfam family: Bacterial small subunit ribosomal RNA
Source: RNAcentral